Molecule: long non-coding RNA, 493 nt
Filed under: Monodelphis domestica (gray short-tailed opossum)
Lineage: Eukaryota; Metazoa; Chordata; Mammalia; Didelphimorphia; Didelphidae
Description: lncRNA (ENSMODG00000030951.2)
Source: RNAcentral
CUCUUCUUCAGGAAUGCCGCUGUGGCGUGCAGGUGGCGGGGUAGAGGAAACCACAUGAGAAAAAUUCUCUGGCCUGGUUCUCCCACCCAGCCUCCAAAACCACUUUCCCAGAAGAAAAGAUCGAGAGGCAGGGCUACAUUCAAAUAUAUCUUCCUUAUGUAAGGCGGAGACCUCUCAGAAGGAAAUAGGGGCAAUCUUAUAAUCUGAAAAAAAAAUUCAAGAAAACAAAACAAAAAUGGAACUGUUCCAUGCUAAGUGUCAGAGACCAUAUUUGGGGACAACUCAUGACCAGGAACAAGAUAAGGAUCUUUUGGAAUCUGAACAAACAAGUUACCUCCUGAAAACUGGCGUCGUUAAGACCAACGGCCAUAAACCAUAAUAGUUCUUCACAUCCUCUCCUGGUACAAACUGUCCUUAAUCACCACCCCCCCCCCCACCUCAAGCAUAUAUAUUCUUGCCCUGCACCUGCAAUAAAAGAGCCUUGACACUAUCA